Molecule: long non-coding RNA, 783 nt
Filed under: Salmo salar (Atlantic salmon)
Lineage: Eukaryota; Metazoa; Chordata; Actinopteri; Salmoniformes; Salmonidae
Description: lncRNA (ENSSSAG00000109744.1)
Source: RNAcentral
GUUAUAUUCUCCCUAUAGGCCCUAACUAUAACUCUGGUCCUGGUCUAGUUAUAUCCUCCCUAUAGGCCCUAACUAUAACUCUGGUCUAGUUAUAUCCUCCCUAUAGGCCCUAACUGUAGCUCUGGUCCUGGUCUAGUUAUAUUCUCCCUAUAGGCCCUAACUAUAACUCUGGUCUAGUUAUAUUCUCCCUAUAGGCCCUAACUAUAACUCUGGUCUAGUUAUAUUCUCCCAAUAGGCCCUAACUAUAAAUCUGGUCUAGUUAUAUCCUCCCUAUAGACCCUAACUAUAACUCUGGUCCUGGUCUAGUUAAAUUCUCCCUAUAGGCCCUAACUAUAACUCUGGUCCUGGUCUAGUUAUAUUCUCCCUAUAGGCCCCAACUACAUCUCUGGUCCCGGUCCAGUUAUAUUCUCCCUAUAGACCCUAACUAUAACUCUGGUCCUGGUCUAGUUAUAUUCUCCCUGUAGACCCUAACUAUAGCUCUGGUCCUGGUCUAGUUAUAUUCUCCCUAUAGACCCUAACUAUAGCUCUGGUCCUGGUGUAGUUAUAUUCUCCCUAUAGACCCUAACUAUAACUCUGGUCUAUUUAUAUUCUCCCUAUAGACCCUAACUAUAACUCUGGUCCCGGUCCAGUUAUAUUCUCCCUAUAGGCCCCAAUUAUAACUCUGGUCCUGGUCUAGUUAUAUUCUCCCCAUAGGCCCUAACUAUAACUCUGGUCCUGGUCUAGUUAUAUUCUCCCUAUAGGCCCUAACUAUAACUCUGGUCCUGGUCUAGUUAUAUUCUCCCU